CACGGCUGCUGAGCCCAUGGAGCAGCAGCUGCUCCAGCUCCAGAGUGGACAAUCCCAUUUUUUGGGUGUUUUCCUAAAUGUCAGGGGGGUUUGUGAUGCAAUCUGUGUUAGUGGCACCUCCUCUGGGGCAAAUCCUGACACUGGGCCCAGGGUGUGAUGCACUGAGCCUGGUGUGGAUCUCCUGGAUCUUCAAAGGACAGGGUCCAGGGGAGCACAAGAAUUUGGAUAUUGGAGAUCAGAACUUGAAUCCUAGAAUAACCCAGCCCUUACUUGCACUCCUUCCCUGGGCAAAGUUUGGAGAAAAUGAAUGACCCCGCCUUGGUCAACACCAGGCACAAGCAGAUGUUUGCCCUCCACCAGUUCCAACUCACGACACCACCCUGCUGUCCCUUCACUGAUCCCAUUUUUCCCUGCUAAAAAGCAAACCCCAGCACGGGGUGUGUGAGAGAAAACAGCGCUGAAAUAUUUGAAUGCUGUUACAUAAAGGGGCGAGGAGGCUUUGCCUUGAACGCUGCUUUCAUUUCCAUUUCAAAAAAGGUACAGCUGAAGUGUAAAAAGUUCAGAGAGGGCUGAUGGAAAUGAUUAGACAGAGGGUGAGAUGUGCUUGUGAUGAGAGCCUGUCAAGUUUGGAACAUGAAUUUCCUGGCUAACAAGGAUGAAAAUGGCAAAAAUGUAUCAGAUAAGGAAUAGCUGAUAGGGAGUAUCUCAGGAGGUUGUUGAGGAUCCCUUUUUUCCUGCACUUUCUGCUGACACAAGAAUCCAGGAACAGCCAAAAGAUGUGGCAGGGCCCACAGCACAGGUUGGUGACAACAGACAGGGCUUUGGGCUGGAUGUGGGAUCAUUGCCACAGGAGUCUGAGACAUCAGCAGUGUUUAAAGGAUGAGGAAUUAGAGAUUUGGGCAA
Molecule: long non-coding RNA, 903 nt
Filed under: Zonotrichia albicollis (white-throated sparrow)
Lineage: Eukaryota; Metazoa; Chordata; Aves; Passeriformes; Passerellidae
Description: lncRNA (ENSZALG00000013107.1)
Source: RNAcentral